Molecule: transfer RNA, 73 nt
Filed under: Cricetulus griseus (Chinese hamster)
Lineage: Eukaryota; Metazoa; Chordata; Mammalia; Rodentia; Cricetidae
Rfam family: tRNA
About the family: Transfer RNA (tRNA) molecules are approximately 80 nucleotides in length. Their secondary structure includes four short double-helical elements and three loops (D, anti-codon, and T loops). Further hydrogen bonds mediate the characteristic L-shaped molecular structure. tRNAs have two regions of fundamental functional importance: the anti-codon, which is responsible for specific mRNA codon recognition, and the 3' end, to which the tRNAs corresponding amino acid is attached (by aminoacyl-tRNA synthetases). tRNAs cope with the degeneracy of the genetic code in two manners: having more than one tRNA (with a specific anti-codon) for a particular amino acid; and 'wobble' base-pairing, i.e. permitting non-standard base-pairing at the 3rd anti-codon position.
Source: Rfam by way of RNAcentral
GGGGACGUGGCUCAGCUGGUAGAGUGCUUGCCUUGUGUAUGCAGGAAACCCUGGGUUCCAUCCCCAGCACCCA